GGCGGAGCAUGCGGAUUAAUUCGAUGCAACGCGAAGAACCUUACCAAGGCUUGACAUAUAGAGGAAAAGCGUAGAAAUACGCUCCCCGCAAGGUCUCUAUACAGGUGGUGCAUGGUUGUCGUCAGCUCGUGUCGUGAGAUGUUGGGUUAAGUCCCGCAACGAGCGCAACCCUCGUCCUAUGUUGCCAGCACGUAAUGGUGGGAACUCAUGGGAUACUGCCGGGGUCAACUCGGAGGAAGGUGGGGAUGACGUCAAAUCAUCAUGCCCCUUAUGUCUUGGGCUUCACGCAUGCUACAAUGGCCGGUACAGAGGGCAGCAAUACCGCAAGGUGGAGCGAAUCCCAAAAAGCCGGUCUCAGUUCGGAUUGAGGUCUGCAACUCGACCUCAUGAAGUUGGAGUCGCUAGUAAUCGUGGAUCAGCAACGCCACGGUGAAUACGUUCCCGGGCCUUGUACACACCGCCCGUCAAGUCAUGAAAGUCGGUAACACCCGAAGCCAGUGGCCCAACCGCAAGGGGGGAGCUGUCGAAGGUGGGAUCGGUGAUUAGGACU
This 550-nucleotide ribosomal RNA is filed under the name uncultured Actinomycetes bacterium. Its description in RNAcentral is "bacterial SSU rRNA". It matches the Rfam family "Bacterial small subunit ribosomal RNA", at positions 931 to 1482 of the family's 1533-position model. Lineage: Bacteria; Bacillati; Actinomycetota; Actinomycetes. The record is from RNAcentral.